Molecule: long non-coding RNA, 2581 nt
Filed under: Homo sapiens (human)
Lineage: Eukaryota; Metazoa; Chordata; Mammalia; Primates; Hominidae
Description: long non-coding RNA NONHSAT156741.1
Source: RNAcentral
UACAGAAAGAGAAUAGAAGUCUUUCAAAUUUGUGGGAAAAUUAUCUGGAAAUUGAAAGUCCUCCAGGCAAAGGUCUGGCUGUGAUAUUACUUCUGGGCGACACUUCUCACAAGAGGGAAGAUAGGUACUGUCAGACCACAGAUCCCUGUUCCUGGGGAGAAUGCACCAGGGAAUACAAGAAAGUAGUGGUCCACAACCUUUUUGGCACCAGGGACUGGUUUCAUGGAAGACAAUUUUUCCGUGGACCGACGGUUGGACCUUCAUUGAAGACCUAAGUUGCCCCUCCCAGGGUUGGGUUGAUGUAGAUCAACCCAAGUGCUGCCUGGAGCUAAGGAGGAUCAGGAUUGGAUGCUGGAGAGCAGAGAUGAAGAAUAUCAACUAUGGCCUCAGGGCCAGCAGGGAUGCUGGUUUUUCCUCGGCUAAUAGCCAUUUGCAAUAGGGUCAAGAUUUAUGCCAGCUGGAAUCUCACAGGAUAUCAGUCACAUUGCUUUCUUCUAAGCAAUUGCUUAUGCUUACAAGAAAAGGAGCAGGAACAUUGAAAGGAAAAUGACAUACUUAGCUUAGGGUUCUGCAUGACAAAUGGCUCUUGAUAACCUUCCCCCGUCAAUUCUGGGAGAGUAGACAAAAGCAAAGAAAACAAAUUGACUACAGACAUCGACAUUCAUCCUACUUGAAGAGAGAACCAGUCUGUGUGAAAAACAGAGUAAACUUCAAAAGAAUCCAGCAAUUGCCCUGAACUGACCCAUAAAGAGAAAUUAGAAAUCGAAAGUUGAAAAUUAGGAAGCUCAAGAGUGAAUCUGAGGACUGAUGUGCUCCACACAUUACCUUCAAGACUGUUUAGUUUAAACAAAGUAUAGCUCAUUUCAUUAAAUGGACAAUGGUUGGAUUCUGCUUCAUUAGUAGUCAAUCUCAAUGAAUCUGUUCCACAUAUUACCUUCAAGGUUAUUUACUUUUUCUUCUCCAGGACACAGUGCUUAGAAAAAUCAAAUAGAAAAGCCACCAAGCUUACCAUUUCAACCAAGGAUAAAUAUAAGAACAUCCCAGCAGUGACUGUGAAGAUCCAGUCUUGAACACAUGGAUCAGCUGACACGGAAAGGCCAAUGUAUAAUCCCAUGAAGGCAGUUAGGGAGCUUAUAAAAUUCAUCAGGAUGGCAGUCUUCAUAGAAAGUCCAGAGCUUAAGAGCACGGCAAAGUCUCCUGAAGUUUAAGAGGAAAGGAAAAUAUAAUUAUCAUUUAAUGGAAGACGCCUUUGCUAAAGUAACGCACUAUUAGCUAUUUCGAAUGUCAGCACUGGAACCAAUUUUAUAGGUAGAGUUGAGUGAUCAGUAAAUAAAAUGCUUUCCUAUAUUUCUCUAGAAUUCAUAGCCCAUUCAUCGUACUAUUAGGAAGUUGCAUUUCAAGAGUUCCAUUCCUUUGGCUGCUCCUAAAGAUUGUAUCUACAGAGAGGUCUGUGACAUAUUCUUGAGUUCUUGAUAUCCUCUGACAUUUCCAACUUAGAUAAAUGGAAAAUAGUCACUCACUGUCCCAGGGUUUCUAAAUCUUUGGGCCUGGAAAUUUGCCAGGUGAAAUCAUGACACUAUAUGGGCUUUUAUUAUUUACUUAUGCAGAAACUGCUGUGGGGAGAGAAAACUACUUAAUAUGAGAUUUUUAAAGCAUUGUAAAAGUUGGUUAGGAAACAAAUUUUUCCCUUUAGAAAAUGAUUAUAGGAAAAUGAUCUCAUUCUCUCCAUGCCUUCCCUCCAAGAGAAGAUUGACCUGUUAGUAAAUCUGAGAACAUCUACUUCUUAGUUUGGGGGAUUGAGACUAAAAUUCAAUAGACAGCUUGGGGACCCAGUUUUCUAGUUCCAUUGCAUAAUUGUUCCCAUGAACGGGGCUUGAAACAUCUCUGCUGGCCUGCUGCAGACGGUCACACUGCCCUGUGGCUUUGGGUUGAGGACUGGGGGCUACAUCCCUGUUACAGUAGCAAAACUCAGGACCACAGAUAGGGGAUGGCUUCCAGACCAGGUGCACUUUAAUGAGCCCAGGGAGGACCUUGGAUAAACUGCUCCAAGAAGGAUAGGUCAAUAAUGAGUCAGUGUCAGGACUUUGAGCAACGGACUCCAAGCACAAGAGGGCAAGCGUUUCCUAGGGGCAAUGUAGGUGCGAAAGUGGAAGCAGAGAGACUGCGAAGAGCCCUCUCCCUUGGGAGCCUAUGCCAGACCAGCCUCUACUAUUUCUGGGUCUGUUUCAGAAACGUCUGUUCUAACCCAUCUUGCGUCCUGGGAGGCAAAGAACAGGGCUAUAUUGUUCUCACUUAUUUGUGGGAUCUAAAAAUCAAAACAAUUGAAUUCAUGGAGUUAAAGAAUAGAAGAAGGUUACCAGAGGCUGGGAAGGGUAGUGGGGUGGUAGGGGAAGGUGGAGGUGAGGUAAAGAUGGUUAAUCACUACAAAAAAAAAAAAAAAAAUAGAAUGAAUAAGACCUAGUAUUUGAUAGCACAACAGGACGACUACAGUCAUCAUAAUUUAAUUUGUACAUUUAAAAAUAACUAAAAGAGUAUAAUUGGAUAGUUUGUAACACAAACAAUAAAUGCUUGAGGGGAUGGA